GAUGAACGCUAGCUAUAGGCUUAACACAUGCAAGUCGAGGGGAAACGGCAUUAUGUGCUUGCACAUUUUGGACGUCGACCGGCGCACGGGUGAGUAUCGCGUAUCCAACCUGCCCUUUACUUGGGGAUACCCCGUUGAAAGACGGCCUAAUACCCGAUGUAAUUCAUUGAUGGCAUCAGAUAUGAAUAAAAGAUUUAUCGGUAAAGGAUGGGGAUGCGUCUGAUUAGCUUGUUGGUGAGGUAAAGGCUCACCAAGGCAACGAUCAGUAGGGGUUCUGAGAGGAAGGUCCCCCACAUUGGAACUGAGACACGGUCCAAACUCCUACGGGAGGCAGCAGUGAGGAAUAUUGGUCAAUGGGCGGAAGCCUGAACCAGCCAAGUAGCGUGCAGGAAGACGGCCCUAUGGGUUGUAAACUGCUUUUAUACGAGAAUAAUUUGAUGCACGUGUGCGUUAUUGCAUGUAUCGUA
This 467-nucleotide ribosomal RNA is filed under the name Prevotella pallens. RNAcentral describes it as "bacterial SSU rRNA". It matches the Rfam family "Bacterial small subunit ribosomal RNA", at positions 28 to 482 of the family's 1533-position model. The record is from RNAcentral. Lineage: Bacteria; Pseudomonadati; Bacteroidota; Bacteroidia; Bacteroidales; Prevotellaceae.